This is a non-coding RNA of Pseudonaja textilis, 1222 nucleotides long. Lineage: Eukaryota; Metazoa; Chordata; Lepidosauria; Squamata; Elapidae. The record is from RefSeq and is a predicted model, not a curated record.
GAAUAUAUAGAGAUAUGAAAAGGAACUAGACAAGGUUGCCCGCUGUCACCUCUGUUGUUUGUGUUGACACUGGAAGUACUUAAUAGAAAUAUUAGAGAAGAUAAGGAUAUAAAACGAAUGAAAAUUAAGAGGGAAGAAUAUAAAUUACAAGCUUUCACAGAUGACCUGGCUUUUAUUUUAGAGAAUCCAUUUGAAAUAGCAUUUAAAUUGCUAGAAAAGAUUGAGGAAUAUGGAUAUGUAGCAGGUUUGAAAAUAAAUAAAGAUAAAGCAAAGAUUUUGACGAAGAACAUAGUUGAAAAACGAAAGAAAGAAUUGACGGAGGUUUUGAAGAUCCAGGUCACAAAUAAAGUUAAGUAUCUAGGAAUAUAUUUGACAGCUAGAUGUGGCACACUUAAGAAGAAAACUACUAUAAACUCAAACAACAGAUUGUGACAGACUUGGCAAAAUAGGAAAAAUUGCAUUUAUCUUUAAUAGGGAGAAUAUCCACAAUUAAGAUGAAUAUAUUACCAAGGAUUUUAUAUUUGUUUCAGACAAUUCCAAUUAAAUUAGGGAAAGACCAUUUUGAAGCUUUAAAUAAAAUAGUACUGAAAAACAUUUGGCAGGGAAAGAAGGCGAGAAUUAAACUAAAACUACUACAAGAUGCUAGAAUAAGAGGAGGGUUUGGCUUGCCCAUUUGGGAGUUAUAUUAUCAGGAGACAACAUUGCUGUGGGUCAAGGAAUGGAUAACAUUAAGGAAUACUAGAUUAUUGACGUUAGAAGGACAUGAUCUGUUGUUGGGAUGGCAUGCUUUCUUAUGGUACAAGGAGACUAAAAUGCAUGGAUACUUUAGGAGGCAUUUUAUAUGAGAGGCUCUAUUAUUAAUAUGGGAGAAAAUUAAAAGACAACAGUAUUUGAAAAUUCCAGUCUGGUUAUCAACUAUUGAAGUAUUCGCAUAUCCAGUAAUCUAUAAAAUGGAACAGUUAGAUAUGGCGAAAUAUUGAAUGAAACGGGUGAACUUAAAUCUAUGCAAGAACUAGAGGAACAAGAUAUAAGGAUGAAUUGGUUUUCAUAUGUGCAAAUACAUUCUAGAUAUGAUAAAGACUCCAAAAUGGAAGGUUUUUAUAGUAAAUUAACUGAAUUAGAUAAAAUCUUGACAGGUACUGAUGAAAAGGUGAUUUAAAAAUUAUAUGGAUAUUUACUAGAGGUUAAACUAGAAGAACAAGUUAAAGAAACUAUGAUUGCU